GUUUGAUCCUGGCUCAGAGUGAACGCUAGCGGCAGGCUUAAUACAUGCAAGUCGAGGGGCAGCACGGUUAGCAAUAACUGGUGGCGACCGGCGCACGGGUGCGUAACACGUAUACAAUCUACCUUAAACAGGGGGAUAGCCUUUCGAAAGAGAGAUUAAUACCCCGUAAUAAAUUGAACGGCAUCGUUUGAUUUUGAAAGCUCCGGCGGUUUGAGAUGAGUAUGCGUCUGAUUAGCUAGUUGGUGAGGUAACGGCUCACCAAGGCGACGAUCAGUAGGGGAUCUGAGAGGACUAACCCCCACACUGGUACUGAGACACGGACCAGACUCCUACGGGAGGCAGCAGUAAGGAAUAUUGGUCAAUGGAGGCAACUCUGAACCAGCCAUGCCGCGUGCAGGAUGACGGCCCUAUGGGUUGUAAACUGCUUUUAUACCAGAGAAAACCCGAGUACGUGUACUCGGUUGAUAGUAUGGUAAGAAUAAGCAUCGGCUAACUUCGUGCCAGCAGCCGCGGUAAGACGAAGGAUGCAAGCGUUAUCCGGAUUCAUUGGGUUUAAAGGGUGCGUAGGCGGACCUGUAAGUCAGUGGUGAAAUCUCUUUGCUUAACAAAGGAACUGCCAUUGAUACUGCAAGUCUAGAGUAUAGAUGACGUUGGCGGAAUAUGACAUGUAGUGGUGAAAUACUUAGAUAUGUCAUAGAACACCGAUUGCGAAGGCAGCUAACGAAACUAUAACUGACGCUGAGGCACGAAAGUGCGGGGAUCAAACAGGAUUAGAUACCCUGGUAGUCCGCACCGUAAACGAUGAUUACUCGUUGUUGGCAAUAUGACCGUCAGCGACCAAGCGAAAGCGAUAAGUAAUCCACCUGGGGAGUACGCCGGCAACGGUGAAACUCAAAGGAAUUGACG
This 906-nucleotide ribosomal RNA is filed under the name uncultured bacterium. RNAcentral's name for it is "bacterial SSU rRNA". It matches the Rfam family "Bacterial small subunit ribosomal RNA", at positions 11 to 915 of the family's 1533-position model. The record is from RNAcentral.